This 373-nucleotide ribosomal RNA is filed under the name uncultured organism. RNAcentral's name for it is "bacterial SSU rRNA". It matches the Rfam family "Bacterial small subunit ribosomal RNA", at positions 525 to 896 of the family's 1533-position model. The record is from RNAcentral.
CGGGGGGGGGCAAGCGUUGUUCGGAAUUACUGGGCGUAAAGGGCUCGUAGGUGGCCAACUAAGUCAGACGUGAAAUCCCCCAGCUUAACUGGGGAACUGCGUCUGAUACUGGAUGGCUUGAGUUUGGGAGAGGGAUGCGGAAUUCCAGGUGUAGCGGUGAAAUGCGUAGAUAUCUGGAGGAACACCGGUGGCGAAGGCGGCAUCCUGGACCAAUACUGACACUGAGGAGCGAAAGCCAGGGGAGCAAACGGGAUUAGAUACCCCGGUAGUCCUGGCCCUAAACGAUGAAUGCUUGGUGUGGCGGGUAUCGAUCCCUGCCGUGCCGAAGCUAACGCAUUAAGCAUUCCGCCUGGGGAGUACGGUCGCAAGGCUG